UUUGGGCUACAACUAUUAUAUUUGGAAAUUUUGAAGUUUGAAUUUGAGUUUUUGAGAGAAACAGUCCCAAACCCGCUGUCUGCGCACGCAACCGCGAGUGCACGUGCACGCGAUCGGGGGUGAUCGUGCACGGCGUGUCAUGGUGCGCCACAUCGCGUUGGCCCCUUGGUGCAGCACCGCCGACCAUUCGCCGCCGGCGAUGGGACGGCACAUCCCCGAGUGCUCACCCAAUUGCGCGCCCGCACCAUCCCCCUCCCGACCGGCUUAUCUUCGCCGGCCAAUGCUCCAGUGCGCACCCAUGCCAUCCUGCAGAUGCUCACCGCCACAUCAUCGCCUGCCAUUGACCUCCUCCUGGCCAACACCCGCUGGUGAAGUGAUAGCACGCGCGCCCCUCUUUGCCACUCCGUGAGCGAGGGAAAUCAGUUGCCCACGCUAAAGAUCCCUCUCCGCCACUAAUCGGCCGCGCGCCCAGGCCCCCUCGCCGCCACGGCCAACUGCUGAGUGCCCCAGUCUGUUCUGCGGGUCACCAGCCUCCCCGUG
This 540-nucleotide long non-coding RNA is filed under the name Setaria viridis. Its description in RNAcentral is "long non-coding RNA (SVIR_LNC001723)". Lineage: Eukaryota; Viridiplantae; Streptophyta; Magnoliopsida; Poales; Poaceae. The record is from RNAcentral.